CGUAAGUGGAGUCCGGAAACCACAAAAAAACGGGGCAAAAUCCUGAAAUGCCUUAUGAGUAGGGACAAUU
Flavobacterium beibuense F44-8 is the source of this 70-nucleotide regulatory RNA element. It matches the Rfam family "DUF805 RNA". The record is from Rfam. NCBI's taxonomy places the organism in Bacteria, Pseudomonadati, Bacteroidota, Flavobacteriia, Flavobacteriales, Flavobacteriaceae.